This is a long non-coding RNA of Drosophila miranda, 1743 nucleotides long. RefSeq lists it as uncharacterized. The record is from RefSeq and is a predicted model, not a curated record. Lineage: Eukaryota; Metazoa; Arthropoda; Insecta; Diptera; Drosophilidae. The transcript is spliced from 3 exons.
AGCAUUAAACAGCACGAAAAUUUCCAUGACAUUGUAAUUUGAAAUGUGAAACAUUUCUGAAAAGGCAUUUUUCAAUUGAACUCCCUUUGAAUCGGGUCAGAGUGGGGUGGCAGGGAGUGCGGGAAAAUGCUUUUUAUUGCAAUACGAAAACUGUCAAGGUAUCGGAUUUCCAGUGAAUGAAUGUGUGAAUACUCGUACUUAUAAUUGCAGUUGCUGCUUUUGGUGUGCUCCGCCCCGCUCGAUUGCACAUAGGUUCCAGAUCCACUCAGUCCCGUAUUCAAUUGCUUGGCUGCGAAUUUGAAUGUGUAUCCCUUUGCUGGUUCAGUUUGACAGACCGCAAAUACAUAGAAGCCGCAAUUUGUAUACGCCCCGUUGUCUGGCCGAAAUGUCCUACAAUUAAAACGUCGACAUUCUGGCUCAUGCGACAAUAACAGUUCUGACAGUAAGGGCCCGACAUAAAAGUGGCGAAGCGAAACGAAAGAACGAAACGGAUUCGCAGAUCCCAAAACCAUUUCAGUGAGUCCUUUUCUGUCACCUUCAGGCUCCUGUCCUGUCUGUCAGUGACAGGCCACACCUUCGCUAAUGGUCGCCCUGUUGGGGGGCUACAACAAUGAUAUCGGUGCUCCUUUGCAUUAUUCUUAUCGCCGAACAACACCGAAGCAAGGAAGGAGGGAAGGCUGGUCAACUCAAUUAAUUACUGCCGUGUGCUGUGCUAUGCUGUGCUGUGUUUCAGGCCCAAAAAGGAUUGUCCCAGCAGCUUUGAUGUUGGACACGUUAAUUGAAAGCGAAACUUGUGCAAAUAACAUUAUCGGAAAAAUUCAAAUUGCAUUAGUUGGCACUGCUUGUGAGCUUGAAGGCAGCCAGAAGAGCGAGCCUGCAGUGGCAUUCAGUUAAGCAGGAGACUCUCAUUGAAUUAGGCAAACACAAUUAGGGAAGAAGGAAAACUUUUGGAUUUCGGUGCGAUGCUUGUCAACACAUUUUGUAUUCCUUGAUGUUUAUAAAUUGGCUUUUCGGCCUCCCAAAAAAGGAGAUGGAGUUCUUUUUCGCUCGACAGCUCCUAAUACGAAAGAGAUGGACUGACAAGUAAUGUAGGAGAGGAGAGUGGAACGACCGCAGCAGCUGGCCAAAAGUUGUUGCCAAGAAGUGUAGGUCCCUUUCCCACAAAAACCAAUUAUACCAUCCAUAUCUCGUUCAGCAUUUCAUCUAUUCGUCCGAAAAAUAUAUGUGCAUUUAUUCUCCCCACAAAAACAGCAAAAGGGAAAAGGUUGCGGCUUGCUCUUUAAAUGGAUUCCGUUCAAAAAACCGCCAGAGAAACUUUCGCUCCGAACCCCAGCAACCCCUUAAAAGUAAGCCGCAGAAUCGUUAACCCAGAAUCAGCGAGUUAUGUAUGUAUUCUGUGGUAUGCAUUAUUGCCGCUACUGUGUUGCAAAUGUCAAUGCUGCAUCUUGAAAUAUGUAAAUAAAUUGCCAAUGCCACAAGACCCACAGGAUAGAGAGAAAAUGGAAAAGUUUCUUCUGACGAAGGUUUUAAAUUUCAGAGGAUUGAAUGAUUAUGCGAUGAAUAAAGUUUGAAACUAAUCAAUAACCAGCAACUUUACACAGUCACAGUCACAGCAAAGUCAAAUGUGAGAGGAAGGUGUAACAACAGUUUUCGGCUUUUAAUGGGCAUAAUUUGAUGAACUUAUGACCCGAUUAACAUAUCAAACUCUGUUCUGCGUAAACUUCUCCUCAAUUAAACAGUCAA